GAUGAACGCUGGCGGCGUGCCUAAUACAUGCAAGUCGAGCGAACAGACGAGGAGCUUGCUCCUUCUACGUAAGCGGCGAGUGGGUGAUUAGCAAGUAGGUAACCUCCCUAUAAUACUUGGAUAACUUCGGGAAACCGGAGCGAAUACCGGAGAAUAUUUCGAACCUCGUGGUUCGAUAGUGAAAGGUGGCUUUGCUAUCACGUAUACAUUGACCUGCGCCGUAGUGGCUGGUUGGUAAAGUAACGGCUUACCAAGGCAGCGAUACGUAGCCGACCUGAGAGGGGGAUCGGCCACACUGGAGCUGAGACACGGGACAGGCUCUGAGGGGAGGCAGAAGUAGGGACGCUACGGAGAUGGGGGAAAGCCUGACGGAGGAACGCAGCGUGAGUGAAGAAGCGCUGCGGAUCGUAAAACGCUGUUAUGAGGGAAGACCAAACGUGUAAGUAACGGAGCGCGUGUUGAGGGUACCUAAUAAGAAAGCCCCGGCUAACUCCGG
RNAcentral lists this ribosomal RNA (496 nucleotides) under uncultured bacterium. RNAcentral's name for it is "partial 16S ribosomal RNA". It matches the Rfam family "Bacterial small subunit ribosomal RNA", at positions 28 to 506 of the family's 1533-position model. The record is from RNAcentral.